AACGAACGCUGGCGGCAUGCCUAACACAUGCAAGUCGCACGAGACCUCCUGGGCUAGUGGCUCACGGGUGCGUAACGCGUGGGAACCUGCCCUUAGGUUCGGAAUAACUCCCCGCAAGGGGUUCUAAUAACUGCUAAUGUCCUCGGACCAAGGACUUAUCGCCUUUGGAUGGGCCCGCGUUGGAUUAGCUAGUUGGUAGGGUAAAAGCCUACCAAGGCGACGAUCCAUAGCUGGUCUGAGAGGAUGAUCAGCCACACUGGGACUGAGACACGGCCCAGACUCCUACGGGAGGCAGCAGUGGGGAAUAUUGGACAAUGGGCGAAAGCCUGAUCCAGCAAUGCCGCGUGGGUGAAGAAGGCCUUAGGAUUGUAAAGCUCUUUUACCGGGGAUGAUAAUGACAGUACCGGGAGAAUAAGCCCCGGCUAACUCCGUG
RNAcentral lists this ribosomal RNA (433 nucleotides) under uncultured bacterium. RNAcentral describes it as "partial 16S ribosomal RNA". It matches the Rfam family "Bacterial small subunit ribosomal RNA", at positions 29 to 507 of the family's 1533-position model. The record is from RNAcentral.